RNAcentral lists this ribosomal RNA (449 nucleotides) under uncultured bacterium. RNAcentral's name for it is "partial 16S ribosomal RNA". It matches the Rfam family "Bacterial small subunit ribosomal RNA", at positions 29 to 523 of the family's 1533-position model. The record is from RNAcentral.
AACGAACGCUGGCGGCAUGCCUCAUACAUGCAAGUCGAACGAUCACUUCGGUGGUAGUGGCGCACGGGUGCGUAACGCGUGGGAAUCUGCCCUUGGGUUCGGAAUAACGUCGGGAAACUGACGCUAAUACCGGAUGAUGACGUAAGUCCAAAGAUUUAUCGCCCAGGGAGGAGCCCGCGUAGGAUUAGCUAGUUGGUGGGGUAAAGGCCUACCAAGGCGACGAUCCUUAGCUGGUCUGAGAGGAUGAUCAGCCGCACUGGGACUGAGACACGGCCCAGACUCCUACGGGAGGCAGCAGUAGGGAAUAUUGGACAAUGGGGGCAACCCUGAUCCAGCAAUGCCGCGUGAGUGAUGAAGGCCUUAGGGUUGUAAAGCUCUUUUACCCGGGAUGAUAAUGACAGUACCGGGAGAAUAAGCCCCGGCUAACUCCGUGCCAGCCGCCGCCGUAA